CACCAUGGCAGUGCCAGGGAGAUGACAGGUCCCCAAGAGGGGUGCAUAUCCCCAUGAAGGCCUUGUGUGUCAGCCCCAAAACAGGUUUCAAAUCUGGUUGUGUAUGGAAGAAGCAGUACUGCAGCUCCUUCCUGGUUAUCUGAUAGCCAAAUCCCACCAAACUCUAAAGUGACUUGUCAGAGAUGCACACUGGAGUGGCAGAGCCAAGGGGCCAAAGGAAAGGCAGUUCCUUGUGACAUUAUCUUAAUGUCAGGCUGAAUCUGCUUGUGCUGCCUACAUGGAGCUCUACCCAAAAGGAUAAAGCAAGUUAGCAAAUGUUUGUCAGUCAAUAAAAGUUAUCUUCAAAGAAGCAAGAGAACAACAAUGUGGCUUUGGAAGAUGCCAAGAGGAAGGAAGUUUUCUCCUCUCUUUCCAGGGAAGCACAUCACCGUCCAGCAGCUCCGUCCUGAACUGGAGCAGCACUACACAGUGGAUGAAAAACAUUCCUCCAGGCCUCUGUGGCAAAGAGGAGCAAUUCAACAGAAUUAAACUGGAACUAAACAGGAACUGGAGAAUUAUUUCUGUUUUUGUUUUACCAGCACUGGAGUGGAAUCUGCCCAUAAUUAUGUCCUGUUUACUGACAUGAUCAGGACAAGAUGAACAGGACCCCUUCUCAAACCUGAACAGCUCAUGCAAAAGCUAGGAAGGAUCUCACAUACGAGUACUUCAAACAGCAAUGUCAAAGCUGAACCUCUCAGUUAGCCAGAAGCAGCGGGAAGUGCAAUGGCUGAACAGUGAGGUACAGCCAAAGAUUGUGCUCUCAGGAAUACGCUGCAUUUACUUUUUUCUAUAUGAAGGAAAAGCAGGAUGCGGACAGUGAAGAAUCACAAGAAAUACAUGGUAUCACCUCAGCACAGAGUUUUAACAUAGUACAAACUACUCUGGACUAGUAUUUAAAAAUAAGUCAAUUACAGUAGGACUUGAUUGACACCACCUUGCAGGUUGCUUGUCUAUAGAUCCCAUCACUGAAAGCAGAUUACUUAAACUACUGUAAGG
RNAcentral lists this long non-coding RNA (1035 nucleotides) under Phasianus colchicus (ring-necked pheasant). RNAcentral's name for it is "lncRNA (ENSPCLG00000001079.1)". The record is from RNAcentral. Lineage: Eukaryota; Metazoa; Chordata; Aves; Galliformes; Phasianidae.